Salvia miltiorrhiza (redroot sage) is the source of this 888-nucleotide long non-coding RNA. RefSeq lists it as uncharacterized. The record is from RefSeq and is a predicted model, not a curated record. The transcript has 6 exons. Lineage: Eukaryota; Viridiplantae; Streptophyta; Magnoliopsida; Lamiales; Lamiaceae.
UAUAUAUAUCAAAAUCUUUAUCUUAUGUACUAACUAAACUAAACUCUAAAUAUAAAUAAAAAUUAAUUAAAGUUCUAAUUCUUCUCCAACUCAAUCAAUUAUCUCCUCGCAACUAACCUCAAAGCCAUCCUUCCGCACCAUCGCAUACAACCUCGCCGCCGCUGUGAGCCUCCGGUCCGCCGCGCUUCACCGUUGCUCUUAGUCUUUUUUCCGGUCGCCGCCUCCCCUCUUCGAAGGCCGGUUGAGGUCACCCGACAAGUUAAACACUUCGAAGAGAACCAUUCCGUUCGAUUUCUCGCUUAAUUAGUCGGGCAGAGAAGCUUGAAGGUGAUCUAUCAAGGUCGCCGCCGUCGACUGGAAUUUCAUAAUUUCCUCCGCACAUGGGAUUUUAAAAUUUAUAUACACUAACUAUGAACAUGGAAGUUACAUUGCGCAAAACAAGCUCAUCUUCAGCUAAUGAGGUAUAUAGACAAAGAAAAAAUCUACAAAGACAAAAGAAACGUAAACGAAAUGCAAGUGAUUUGAAUUGUUCAUUGCUACAUGAAUUGAAAAAUGUGCCUGAUUGCAUUCGUUGUGGUGCAAGAAGAUUUGAAUAUGAACCUCCUACUUUUUGUUGUGAUAAUGGAAAAGUUAAACUUGCAUUUUCUGAAGUUCCUCCGAAGUUGGAUGAAUUGUUUACAGCCCAGUCAGAAGAAGCUAUUAAUUUCAGAAGGAAUAUUCGUGCUUAUAAUAGUAUAUUCUCAUUUACUUCGUUUGGUGUAAAAUUGGACAAAGAAUUGGCAUCUGCAAGAUGGGGAGUUUAUUCUUUUCGAGCACAAGGCAUGGUUUAUCAUGAUCUUCCUGGAUUGAUCCCACAAUAUACGUCUCCAACAUUUUUUCAGCUAUACU